CGAACGCUGGCGGCAGGCUUAACACAUGCAAGUCGAGCCGAGAAGCGUAUCUUCGGGUACGUGGAGAGCGGCGGACGGGUGAGUAACGCGUGGGAACAUGCCCUAUGGUGGGGGAUAACGGCUGGAAACGGCCACUAAUACCGCAUAAUCCCUUGGUCUUUUGAUCUUGGGGAAAGAUUUAUCGCCAUUGGAUUGGCCCGCGUUGGAUUAGCUAGUUGGUGGGGUAACGGCCUACCAAGGCAACGAUCUAUAGCUGGUCUGAGAGGAUGAUCAGCCACACUGGGACUGAGACACGGCCCAGACUCCUACGGGAGGCAGCAGUGGGGAAUAUUGGACAAUGGGCGCAAGCCUGAUCCAGCCAUGCCGCGUGAGUGAAGAAGGCCUUAGGGUUGUAAAACUCUUUCACCGGUGAAGAUAAUGACGGUAGCCGGAGAAGAAGCCCCGGCUAACUCCGUGCCAGCAGCCGCGGUAAU
This 473-nucleotide ribosomal RNA is filed under the name uncultured bacterium. RNAcentral's name for it is "bacterial SSU rRNA". It matches the Rfam family "Bacterial small subunit ribosomal RNA", at positions 30 to 524 of the family's 1533-position model. The record is from RNAcentral.